CUACAAAGGAAUUGGACGGGGCCCGCACAAGCGGUGGAGCACGUGGUUUAAUUCGAUGCAAACCGAAGAACCUUACCUGGGUUUGACAUGUACGUGUUACUGAUCUGAGAGGAGAGGGACCCAUGCUCGGUAUGGGAGCGUACACAGGUGCUGCAUGGCUGUCGUCAGCUCGUGUCGUGAGAUGGUUGGGUUAACGUCCCGCAACGAGCGCCAACCCCUGCAUCCAGUUGCCAUCGGGCGAGCCGGGCACUCUGGAGGGACUGCCGGCGACAAGCCGGAGGAAGGUGGGGAUGACGUCAAGUCAUCAUGGCCCUUAUGUCCAGGGCGACACACGUGCUACAAUGGCCGGCACAGCGGGAAGCGGAGGGGCGACCCUGAGCGGAUCCCUUGAAAGCCGGUCCCAGUUCGGAUUGCAGUCUGCAACUCGACUGCAUGAAGUUGGAAUCGCUAGUAAUCGCGGAUCAGCCAAGCCGCGGUGAAUACGUUCCCGGGCCUU
Molecule: ribosomal RNA, 496 nt
Filed under: uncultured Thermovirga sp.
Lineage: Bacteria; Thermotogati; Synergistota; Synergistia; Synergistales; Thermovirgaceae
Description: bacterial SSU rRNA
Rfam family: Bacterial small subunit ribosomal RNA
Source: RNAcentral